RNAcentral lists this long non-coding RNA (472 nucleotides) under Mytilus galloprovincialis (Mediterranean mussel). Lineage: Eukaryota; Metazoa; Mollusca; Bivalvia; Mytilida; Mytilidae. The record is from RNAcentral.
CAGAAAUGUAAUUUAUAAACAAGCUUAUGCGUUUAGUAAUGACUAGUAUAUCGGACACGCAAGACAGAGAUUUAUACUAUACACCUGAUAGUUCAAAAUGGAAAGUUUCAAGUUAUCGGUCGUAUACACUGAUCAAUACCCUUAGAAGUGAAGCGAUGCAUGAACUUGCAAGUCCGACAGGAAAUCGCUUGAAUACCUGAACGGGUCACCUCACAAUACAUUUGGGAGUAAUACCUUUAGCCAUGCUGGUGAUCAGACAAGGGAAGGUACAAAUUUAUUUAAAUAAGUUUAUUACAUAAAAGAAUUAUGAACAAAUUAGAUUUUCGAAAACAAUUUUCACGGAACACUUAUUUACGCUCAUUUAUGACUUUGAACUAUGACUUUUUCACCAAUUCCCAUAUAAACAGUUAAAAACGACAGACCUUGGUUACCACGGUAUAGCUGACUUAUAUUAACCCUUAAACCAAAUUUC